UUUGCUCACCAGCACACGCUGGAUGCAAAAUUAAACCGAGGAGACUGCCGGCAGCUGCCCAGAAGAGUAUUUUCCUAAGAGUCCGAAGAGUGUCUUCUCUGCCACCAAUUUCCUGUGUGACUUGGCGAGGAAAUGCUGCAUUACUUCCAAAUGAGAGAAUGGGGAGGCGAAGGACGGGGGAGAAGAGAGGGGGGGAAAAUAAAGCUCUUGGACAUGAUAAGAGAGCUGAAACGCAAGAACGUUUCCCCAGACUUACUGUUGC
This is a long non-coding RNA of Pseudopipra pipra, 262 nucleotides long. RefSeq lists it as uncharacterized. The record is from RefSeq and is a predicted model, not a curated record. NCBI's taxonomy places the organism in Eukaryota, Metazoa, Chordata, Aves, Passeriformes, Pipridae. The transcript is spliced from 3 exons.